CCCUUAGAUGUUCUGGGCCGCACGCGUGCUACACUGAGUGGAUCAGCGGGUCAGGUUGCGCGAAAGCGUUUCCUAAUCUUUAAAUCCGCUCGUGAUGGGGAUUGACGGUUGCAAUUUUCUGUCAUGAACGAGGAAUACCUUGUAAGCGCGGGUCAUCAUCCCGCGCUGAAUACGUCCCUGCCCUUUGUACACACCGCCCGUCGCUCCUACCGAUUGAGUGGUCCGGUGAAUUAUUCGGACUGCAACGCGUUCAGUUUCUGGGUGCAGUUGCGGAAAGUUUUGUGAACCUUACCACUUAGAGGAAGGAGAAGUCGUAACA
Molecule: ribosomal RNA, 319 nt
Filed under: uncultured eukaryote
Lineage: Eukaryota
Description: partial 18S ribosomal RNA
Rfam family: Eukaryotic small subunit ribosomal RNA
Source: RNAcentral